Molecule: small RNA, 681 nt
Filed under: Pongo abelii (Sumatran orangutan)
Lineage: Eukaryota; Metazoa; Chordata; Mammalia; Primates; Hominidae
Description: processed transcript
Source: RNAcentral
AUGAAGAAGCAGUUCAACCGCAUGAAGCAGCUGGCUAACCAGACCGUAGGCAGAGCUGAGAAAACAGAAGUCCUCAGUGAAGAUCUAUUACAGAUUGAGAGACGCCUGGACACAGUACGGUCAAUAUGCCACCAUUCCCAUAAGCGCUUGGUGGCAUGUUUCCAGGGCCAGCAUGGCACCGAUGCCGAGAGGAGACACAAAAAACUGCCUCUGACAGCUCUCGCUCAAAAUAUGCAAGAAGCAUCGACUCAGCUGGAAGACUCUCUCCUGGGGAAGAUGCUGGAGACGUGUGGAGAUGCUGAGAAUCAGCUGGCUCUCGAGCUCUCCCAGCACGAAGUCUUUGUUGAGAAGGAGAUCGUGGACCCUCUGUACGGCAUAGCCGAGGUGGAGAUUCCCAACAUCCAGAAACAGAGGAAGCAGCUUGCAAGAUUGGUGUUAGACUGGGAUUCAGUCAGAGCCAGGUGGAACCAAGCUCACAAAUCCUCAGGAACCAACUUUCAGGGGCUUCCAUCAAAAAUAGAUACUCUAAAGGAAGAGAUGGAUGAAGCUGGAAAUAAAGUAGAACAGUGCAAGGAUCAACUUGCAGCAGACAUGUACAACUUUAUGGCCAAAGAAGGGGAAUAUGGCAAAUUCUUUGUUACGAUAAGUGGGCGGAAAAACCAGCCUUUGGGACUCCCCUAG